This 29-nucleotide non-coding RNA is filed under the name Mus musculus (house mouse). The record is from RNAcentral. Lineage: Eukaryota; Metazoa; Chordata; Mammalia; Rodentia; Muridae.
UCAAUUUUAAGAAGGUGUCUAAGGAUGUA